UACGGAGGGUGCUAGCGUUGUUCGGAAUUACUGGGCGUAAAGGGCGCGUAGGCGGCUUUAUAAGUCGGGGGUGAAAGCCUGUGGCUCAACCACAGAAUUGCCUUCGAUACUGUAGAGCUUGAGACCGGGAGAGGUGAGUGGAACUGCGAGUGUAGAGGUGAAAUUCGUAGAUAUUCGCAAGAACACCAGUGGCGAAGGCGGCUCACUGGCCCGAUACUGACGCUGAGGUGCGAAAGCGUGGGGAGCAAACAGG
Molecule: ribosomal RNA, 253 nt
Filed under: uncultured bacterium
Lineage: Bacteria
Description: partial 16S ribosomal RNA
Rfam family: Bacterial small subunit ribosomal RNA
Source: RNAcentral